UACAGAGGUCUCAAGCGUUGUUCGGAUUCAUUGGGCGUAAAGGGUGCGUAGGCGGCGCGGUAAGUCGGAUGUGAAAUCUCGGAGCUUAACUUCGAAACUGCAUUCGAUACUGCCGUGCUUGAGGACUGGAGAGGAGACUGGAAUUUACGGUGUAGCAGUGAAAUGCGUAGAGAUCGUAAGGAAGACCAGUGGCGAAGGCGGGUCUCUGGACAGUUCCUGACACUGAGGCACGAAGGCCAGGGGAGCAAACGGG
This 253-nucleotide ribosomal RNA is filed under the name uncultured bacterium. RNAcentral's name for it is "partial 16S ribosomal RNA". It matches the Rfam family "Bacterial small subunit ribosomal RNA", at positions 524 to 776 of the family's 1533-position model. The record is from RNAcentral.